GACGGGUGAGUAACACGUGGGUAACCUACCUAUAAGACUGGGAUAACUUCGGGAAACCGGAGCUAAUACCGGAUAAUAUUUCGAACCGCAUGGUUCGAUAGUGAAAGAUGGCUCUGCUAUCACUUAUAGAUGGACCUGCGCCGUAUUAGCUAGUUGGUAAAGUAACGGCUUACCAAGGCAACGAUACGUAGCCGACCUGAGAGGGUGAUCGGCCACACUGGAACUGAGACACGGUCCAGACUCCUACGGGAGGCAGCAGUAGGGAAUCUUCCGCAAUGGGCGAAAGCCUGACGGAGCAACGCCGCGUGAGUGAUGAAGGUCUUCGGAUCGUAAAACUCUGUUAUUAGGGAAGAACAAACGUGUAAGUAACUGUGCACGUCUUGACGGUACCUAAUCAGAAAGCCACGGCUAACUACGUGCCAGCAGCCGCGGUAAUACGUAGGUGGCAAGCGUUAUCCGGAAUUAUUGGGCGUAAAGCGCGCGUAGGCGGUUUUUUAAGUCUGAUGUGAAAGCCCACGGCUCAACCGUGGAGGGUCAUUGGAAACUGGAAAACUUGAGUGCAGAAGAGGAAAGUGGAAUUCCAUGUGUAGCGGUGAAAUGCGCAGAGAUAUGGGGGAAC
Molecule: ribosomal RNA, 619 nt
Filed under: uncultured Bacilli bacterium
Lineage: Bacteria; Bacillati; Bacillota; Bacilli
Description: bacterial SSU rRNA
Rfam family: Bacterial small subunit ribosomal RNA
Source: RNAcentral